RNAcentral lists this ribosomal RNA (522 nucleotides) under uncultured Lysobacteraceae bacterium. RNAcentral's name for it is "bacterial SSU rRNA". It matches the Rfam family "Bacterial small subunit ribosomal RNA", at positions 8 to 526 of the family's 1533-position model. Lineage: Bacteria; Pseudomonadati; Pseudomonadota; Gammaproteobacteria; Lysobacterales; Lysobacteraceae. The record is from RNAcentral.
AGAGUUUGAUCCUGGCUCAGAGUGAACGCUGGCGGCAGGCCUAACACAUGCAAGUCGAGCGGCAGCGCGGGGGCAACCCUGGCGGCGAGCGGCGGACGGGUGAGGAAUUCGUCGGAAUCUGCCUUUUUGUGGGGGAUAACGUAGGGAAACUUACGCUAAUACCGCAUACGACCUACGGGUGAAAGUGGGGGACCUUCGGGCCUCACGCAGAAAGAUGAGCCGACGACCGAUUAGCUAGUUGGUGGGGUAAAGGCCCACCAAGGCGACGAUCGGUAGCUGGUCUGAGAGGAUGAUCAGCCACACUGGGACUGAGACACGGCCCAGACUCCUACGGGAGGCAGCAGUGGGGAAUAUUGGACAAUGGGCGCAAGCCUGAUCCAGCCAUGCCGCGUGUGUGAAGAAGGCCUUCGGGUUGUAAAGCACUUUUGUUCGGGAAGAAAUCUUGCAGUUUAAUACGCUGCGAGGCUGACGGUACCGGAAGAAUAAGCACCGGCUAACUUCGUGCCAGCCGCCCGGUAAUUC